RNAcentral lists this ribosomal RNA (465 nucleotides) under uncultured bacterium. RNAcentral describes it as "partial 16S ribosomal RNA". It matches the Rfam family "Bacterial small subunit ribosomal RNA", at positions 338 to 795 of the family's 1533-position model. The record is from RNAcentral.
CCUACGGGAGGCAGCAGUGGGGAAUAUUGCGCAAUGGGCGAAAGCCUGACGCAGCGACGCCGCGUGAGGGAUGAAGGUCUUCGGAUCGUAAACCUCUGUCAGCAGGGAAGAACGGUCACUGUGCUAAUCAGCAGUGAAUUGACGGUACCUGCAAAGGAAGCACCGGCUAACUCCGUGCCAGCAGCCGCGGUAAUACGGUGGGUGCGUGCGUUAAUCGGAUUUACUGGGCGUAAAGGGCGCGUAGGCGGUAUGUCAAGUCAAGGGUGACAUCCCCGGGCUCAACGUGGGAAGUGCCUUUGAAACUGGCAGACUGGAGAGUGUGAGAGGAAAGUGGAAUUCCAGGUGUAGGAGUGAAAUCCGUAGAUAUCUGGAGGAACAUCAGUGGCGAAGGCGACUAUCUGGCACAUAACUGACGCUGAGGAGCGAAAGCGUGGGUAGCAAACAGGAUUAGAUACCCCUGUAGUC